GGCCUCUCUCCCAUGGCGCUGUGGAGGCAGCUUUUCUCCUCAGCCAAGGCUGGAGGCCUAGACCAGACCGAGAGGUUCAUUGUCAGGGCUGCCAUGAGUUGGGCAGUCUUGUUUUCCUGCCUCUGACAUUU
Sorex araneus (European shrew) is the source of this 131-nucleotide small nucleolar RNA. The record is from Ensembl. NCBI's taxonomy places the organism in Eukaryota, Metazoa, Chordata, Mammalia, Eulipotyphla, Soricidae.